GUCUAUGGCCAUACCACCCUGAAUGCUCCCCAUCUCAUCUGAUCUUGGAAGCUAAGUAGGGUCAGGCCUGCUUAGUACUUGGAUAGGAGAAUGAAUGUAGAUAUCACAAGGUGUGUAUUGAAC
Molecule: ribosomal RNA, 123 nt
Organism: Panthera pardus (leopard)
Lineage: Eukaryota; Metazoa; Chordata; Mammalia; Carnivora; Felidae
Source: Ensembl